UACCUGGUUGAUCCUGCCA
Molecule: non-coding RNA, 19 nt
Filed under: Arabidopsis thaliana (thale cress)
Lineage: Eukaryota; Viridiplantae; Streptophyta; Magnoliopsida; Brassicales; Brassicaceae
Also listed under: 64 other names
Source: RNAcentral